UUUUUUUAUUAAACUUGGCAUGUAUACAUUCUCAAAUUAAGAAAAAGAAUGUACUCAUAUAAGUUUAAAAGGUACAUUUUACAUACAACAAAUUGGUAUAUUUAAGAAUUGGCACAUUUUAAGAUUAAAAAAAUGAAAAAUUACAUAAAUGGGUACAUAUAAGAUUAAAAAACUUGGAAACCUUUUUAUAAAAAAUUAAGGGGUACAAACUUAUUCUAAUAUUUUUUUUUUUUUUUGGAAAUGUUUUGAAUUGAAGAUUAGUUAGGAGUUCAAUAAAGGUGUGAGAUUAAAAUCCUAAAUCAAUUAUUAAUUUUUAUUUUAAAAAUUAAGUAACUGAUAUGUAAAUUCAGUAUUGCAUUAAUGUUAGGGACUUUGAUCAAAAUCUGAAAACUUAUGAGGUUUCAGUCAAUGAACAUUAGUAACUAGAGACCGGAUACUAAUUUUUCCUAGUUCUAAUAUUGACAAUUAGAGAUUUAUAUUUUUUUUUUUUUGAACAAUCGAUAUUAUCUAUACUAUGGGGAGGUGGGUUCAACCACACAAUGGGCUAGCAAUAAUGUGGUUCAAAUUUGCCUUUGGCGAGAAUUGAACCUAAAACCUCUCACUUACUAGUGAAGAGGAAUACCAUUAGACUGUAGUACUAAAUGGCUAAAGAUUUAUAUUCUUAUAAUGCUUAUUUUUAGCUACACUUAUUGGAAUUUGAUUUUAAUUAUAUUUUGCUUUCUGUUACUCAAAAGUUGCCACUUUAUUCCUUGAUACUCAAAGUUCGCUCCACUUUGCUAUUUGGAACUCAAUUUUGAUUUCAUUUUGCCCCCUCAAACUAAAAAGUCGUCUUUAUAAAACUCAAAUUUCGCUCUACAUUGACUUAGAUCUGUUAAUUUCUUAUGUGAGUUUGAUUUGGAUGCGCUAGGCUAAUCAAUUUCUUUUUUCUUCAUCUCUUCAACUUCUUUUAAACUAAAUAUUCUCUGAGUAUUGCAUAAUGAAGAUUUAUAGCCAAAAUUAUUGCACAUGUGACAUAGUCUUAUUGGGUGUUGAGUCCCACAUGUUUUAAGAGGUGGCCUAUAAGUUUCAGGAAGAAGAGAGAGUUCACAAGUCAAAGCGAGACAAUUUUGAGUUUCAUAGAAUCAAGUGGUAUCUUUUGAGUUACACGUAGCAAAUUUAAAUAAAAAUGGAUAGCCUUCUAUAAUUUAGGGAUUGUUUGAUAACAUUUCGUUUUCUAUUUUUCACUUUUUUUUUUCAAAUCUGAAAACUAAAAUCUAAUUUGGUAACCAUUACUCUUUCUUGAGUUUUCACCUUUUUGUUUUCAUUUUUUUAAAUAAUAACCAAAGAAGAUUGUAGUUUUCAAAAAAUACAAGCUGAAAAAGCAAAAAUUAAAAACUAAAAAUUGAAAACAAAAACCAAAAACAUGCAAGCAACUCAAAUUGGAUUUAGGCGUUUCUUCUAUAGUUUGGUGCUUGAAGUAUUUUUCAUUAACAUAGCAAAUGCCCACACAUAUUGUGUGUGAACAAUUUUAUUCCAUUUUGAUUUUUAUUACGUAGUGUGAUUAGUUUUUAAAAUUCUAAAACAAAUCAAUUAUGAAAGUUGGGACAGUGAUGGCCAGUUUCUUUUAAUGUGGGUAUGUUCUUUAUUUUUUUUAUCUUAUUUUAUUUUAAUUUUUAAAUAUGGCAUGAUAUGCUCAUUUGACUGUAGAUUGGUGUAAAAAUAACAAAUUUAUAUUCAUGUAAUAUUACUAAAUUGCCCAUGUUUUUAUUUUUGUUCAGUUUUGGUGAGGGAGUUAGAAUGGUAAUUUUAUAGAAUUUUGAUUAACUACUUUAGAUUUUUUUAUUUUUUAUUUUUUAUUUUUUUUUAUAGAAACGAUAUGAAGUUGGAUUUUAUUAAUAAAGUAGUUUAGAUUAAUACCUAGAAGCCUCUUGUAAAUUGUUGUAUUAGGGGCGGGUGGAAUUUGAUUCGCAUUUUCCAAGUCAACCUAGUCGAAUCACUAUCCCCCCACGCCAACCUAAGGCU
This 2001-nucleotide long non-coding RNA is filed under the name Malus domestica (apple). RNAcentral describes it as "long non-coding RNA (MDOM_LNC014119)". Lineage: Eukaryota; Viridiplantae; Streptophyta; Magnoliopsida; Rosales; Rosaceae. The record is from RNAcentral.